RNAcentral lists this small RNA (571 nucleotides) under Pongo abelii (Sumatran orangutan). Its description in RNAcentral is "retained intron". The record is from RNAcentral. Lineage: Eukaryota; Metazoa; Chordata; Mammalia; Primates; Hominidae.
GGUUUUUUCACGUGUCGCCAGGGCCGGACCGCGAGUCUCUCCUUGCGGCGCUACACUAGAGCAGCGUACGAGUCUGAGGCGGAGGAAGUCAUGGCAGGACAAGCGUUUAGAAAGUUUCUUCCACUCUUUGACCGAGUAUUGGUUGAAAGGAGUGCUGCUGAAACUGUAACCAAAGGAGGCAUUAUGCUUCCAGAAAAAUCUCAAGGAAAAGUAUUGCAAGCAACAGUAGUCGCUGUUGGAUCGGGUUCCAAAGGAAAGGUAAAUGGGGGCUGCAGUGGAACUAUUUUUUAUAGUGUGCAGUGGAGGGAAAAGAAGUAAUUCUGGAGUGUUAAAAAUCGCUUAUUAAGUAGAGUUUAUGUCAUUUUCAAGAUCAUUAACUGCUUUGGUUCUAAUCUGUUUCUUAAAGGGAAAUGACUAAUAUAAAGUUGCUUAUUUUAUAUGACCAAUGCUGUGACGCUUAUUUUAUGUGAUAGUUUCAGAGUAUUAAAAAUUGUCCUCAAUAGGCCGGGCGCGGUGACUUUCGCCUGUAAUCUCAGCACUUCGGGAGGCCGAGGUGUGCGGAUCACAAGGU